GGACUCCCAGAGGAUGUGCGAGGCAGAAGAGGGUAGAAAGAGAACCAGCCAUUUUGCUCAUCAUCAACAAACCUUGACCAAGGAAGUGUCUGCGUGUGCAAUGUGCCAUCUGAACCCUGGAGGCAUAAGCAGUAUGGUCACUUGUCCCAGCAUUGUUGGGAAGUGAAAAUGUAUCCAUGGAAAGAGAGCAGAAAGAUAAGACUACGCCCCGGGGAUAAUGAAAAAGAGAGGACUUGACCGCUGAGGGAUGGAGUUCCAAGGAAGGCAGUCCUUGAUGGGGCCAAGCAGCAGGGGAAGACGGGCGCUAUCAGGCUGGGGACAGAGCCCAAGCCAAGACCCAGGUGUAUGAAUGGACAGGACCUGAGAUGACCCGGUGGGUCAAACUGUCUGACUGUAGAAGAGGAGCUGGGCAGAGAGCAGAGGUCCAGGGACAGGCCAAGGUUUGGAAUGCCAAGGUUUGGAAUUUAGGCUUGGCCCUGUGGGUAAUGGAGAGCUAUCAGUGGGUUUCAAGCAAAAGGGAGAUACCAAGUGCUGUGGCCAGCCAUGUUUCAGGAAGAUUGUUCUUGUCCACCUUUGUUUAUGUCAACCACAUUUAGAAGUAACAAAUGUCUG
This 612-nucleotide long non-coding RNA is filed under the name Pan troglodytes (chimpanzee). Its description in RNAcentral is "long non-coding RNA NONPTRT007301". Lineage: Eukaryota; Metazoa; Chordata; Mammalia; Primates; Hominidae. The record is from RNAcentral.